RNAcentral lists this ribosomal RNA (486 nucleotides) under uncultured bacterium. RNAcentral describes it as "partial 16S ribosomal RNA". It matches the Rfam family "Bacterial small subunit ribosomal RNA", at positions 30 to 507 of the family's 1533-position model. The record is from RNAcentral.
AUUGAACGCUGGCGGCAUGCCUUACACAUGCAAGUCGAACGGCAGCACGGGUGCUUGCACCUGGUGGCGAGUGGCGAACGGGUGAGUAAUACAUCGGAACAUGUCCUGUAGUGGGGGAUAGCCCGGCGAAAGCCGGAUUAAUACCGCAUACGAUCUACGGAUGAAAGCGGGGGACCAUCGGGCCUCGCGCUAUAGGGUUGGCCGAUGGCUGAUUAGCUAGUUGGUGGGGUAAAGGCCUACCAAGGCGACGAUCAGUAGCUGGUCUGAGAGGACGACCAGCCACACUGGGACUGAGACACGGCCCAGACUCCUGCGGGAGGCAGCAGUGGGGAAUUUUGGACAAUGGGCGAAAGCCUGAUCCAGCAAUGCCGCGUGUGUGAAGAAGGCCUUCGGGUUGUAAAGCACUUUUGUCCGGAAAGAAAUCCUUGGCCCUAAUACGGUCGGGGGAUGACGGUACCGGAAGAAUAAGCACCGGCUAACUACGUG